RNAcentral lists this ribosomal RNA (441 nucleotides) under Babesia occultans. Its description in RNAcentral is "SSU rRNA". It matches the Rfam family "Eukaryotic small subunit ribosomal RNA", at positions 536 to 1040 of the family's 1831-position model. The record is from RNAcentral. Lineage: Eukaryota; Apicomplexa; Aconoidasida; Piroplasmida; Babesiidae.
CCAGAGUACCAAUUGGAGGGCAAGUCUGGUGCCAGCAGCCGCGGUAAUUCCAGCUCCAAUAGCGUAUAUUAAACUUGUUGCAGUUAAAAAGCUCGUAGUUGAAUUUCAGCGUUUCGCGUGUGCCUCUUUUGGCCCAUCUCGUCUCGCUUUUUUUAUUACUUUGAGAAAAUUAGAGUGUUUCAAGCAGGCUUUUGUCUUGAAUACUUGAGCAUGGAAUAAUAGAGUAGGACCUUGGUUCUAUUUUGUUGGUUUUGUUACCUUGGUAAUGGUUAAUAGGAACGGUUGGGGGCAUUCGUAUUUAACUGUCAGAGGUGAAAUUCUUAGAUUUGUUAAAGACGAACUACUGCGAAAGCAUUUGCCAAGGACGUUUCCAUUAAUCAAGAACGAAAGUUAGGGGAUCGAAGACGAUCAGAUACCGUCGUAGUCCUAACCAUAAACUAA